This 240-nucleotide ribosomal RNA is filed under the name uncultured bacterium. RNAcentral's name for it is "partial 16S ribosomal RNA". It matches the Rfam family "Bacterial small subunit ribosomal RNA", at positions 94 to 334 of the family's 1533-position model. The record is from RNAcentral.
AGUGGCGGACGGGUGAGUAACGCGUGGGUAACCUGCCUCAUACAGGGGGAUAACAGUUAGAAAUGACUGCUAAUACCGCAUAAGACCACAGCACCGCAUGGCGCAGGGGUAAAAACUCCGGUGGUAUGAGAUGGACCCGCGUCUGAUUAGGUAGUUGGUGGGGUAACGGCCUACCAAGCCGACGAUCAGUAGCCGACCUGAGAGGGUGACCGGCCACAUUGGGACUGAGACACGGCCCAA